UUUACUACUUCCCUGUUUACGAUUAUUUGGGCUUCAAAGGAGACCGUGUCAUCCACCCUGUCCAGACAUAUGCCCUAUACUACUGGUGCUUCCACUACUUCAAACGUAUUAUGGAAACAUUUUUUGUACAUCGCUUCAGCCAUGCAACCUAACUCCGCCUAUGUAUCUUACAUUGCCGGUCCCAAGCCCGGAUAAAGGAGGAGGGGGAGGGCGUCAGGUAGUCGACAGCCGGCACUCCAUGAUCACGUCGAAUCCUUAUGAAAAUGAAUCCAGAACAAAAUUAAUGAGAACUCUUCUAUUCCGUGGACGUAGCCAAUCUGGGUGAACCACGUACAUCUUGUGUUUGCUUUCCUAUCUCUAUUCAUUUAUAUACUUAUCCACACUAAUGACCGGAGCAAUCUAGGGAAGAUCACAAAAAGCGACCGUUUUUGCUGCCUAGGAUCUAUCUUGCAAGAGAACGGAGAAUUAGAUGGAGAUCUCAACCAUAGAAUACGACCUGGAUGGAUGAAGUGUAAGAGUGCAUCCGGCGUGUUAUGUGACCGUCGUAGGUCACUGAAGCUCAAGGGAAAAUUUUAUAGGACGACAAUAAGGCCAACGAUGUUGUAUGGCACAGAAUGUUGGACGGUGAAGCAUCAACACGUACACAAAAUGGGGUGUAGCGGAGAUGAGGAUGCUUCGUGGGAUGUGUGGGCACACGAGAAAGGAUAAGAUUGGGCAUGAGGAUAUCCGAGGUAAAGUAGGAGUAGCCGAAAUUGAAGGAAAGAUGAGAGAAAAUCGGUUCCGGUGAUUUGGACAUGGGCAAAGAAGGCCGACUGACGCUCCGGUUCGAAGAUGUGACUACGGGACAGAGGUUCAGGGCCGAAGGGGUAGAGGAAGACCUAGGAAAACUUUGGAAGAGACUCUAAGAAAAGACUUAGAGUACUUGGAUCGAACGGAAGACAUGACACAAAACCGAGCGCAAUGGCGUUCUAGGAUUCAUAUAGCCGACCCCACUUAGUGGGAAAAGGCUUUGUUGUUGUUGUUGUUUGUUGUUGUUGUUGUUUGCUUCAGCCAUGCAACCUCACCACUCUCCAAUGUAUUCCGGAAUUGUGCUUAUUAUUGGAGCUUUGGUGCUUUCAUAGCUUACUACCUGAAUCACCCGCUUUACACCCCUGUUAGUGACCUCCAAAUGAAGAUUGGGUUUGGUAUUGGGAUAAUAUGUCAAAUCUCAAACUUCUAUUGCCAUUCCUUUUGAGGAACCUGCGAAGCCCUGAUGGGAAUGGAGGAUAUCAGAUCCCACGUGGUUUUCUGUUCAAUAUUGUGACAUGUGCAAAUUACACUACAGAGAUCUAUCAGUGGUUGGGCUUCAAUAUAGCAACACAGACAGUUGCUGGCUAUAUCUUUCUCAUAGUUGCUGCUUCUAUCAUGACCAAUUGGGCCCUUGCCAAGCACCGCCGUCUUAAGAAGGUAAUCAUAUUGUUGGAAAAUUUAGUUAUUAUUUUAUUAUUGUUUGUGGUUUUCUUGUGGGACAAGGAUAUUAGAGUUUCUUGCCCAUUAGUAUUAGGGUUUCGUUUCCUUGCCUAUUGGGUUUAGGAUUGUGCUUUGGUUUUCUAUAUCCUUUAAGGAUUAGGGUUUGCUUUAGUUUUCACUAUAUAUAGUAGUGCUUGUAUUAGUUAGUUUUAAUAAGUUAUUCACAAUGUAGUCUCUUAGGGUUUUGUAGCCGUUUCGGCAUUCUCGUUUGAUAUCAAUAAUAUUUCUAUUACUUUGUUAGUAUUGUUCGUUGCGCACUAUGAUAUUCAACUCAUAUAAACUUUUGUGCUCUACAAAUCAAAAUCUUUAUUCUUACAUGCAUCCUUAUUCUCUAAUAAGGUUCUUGACGAAAUAUUUGUAUCUCAGUGUGCGGAUAAUUGAGUUCUUAAUUAAGGACUUCGUCUGAAGUCCUUGUUAGAGAACAACUCUAUAUAUAGUUACAUUACAUACUUCUAUGUGAUAGUUUCAUGUUUAGAUUGUGUAUCACCGCACGGAUGGGUUAGUUUGCGUGCACGAUUAAUAAAUUGCUCCAUAAACUGAACUUCGAUGGGAUGUGAUAUCAAGAUUGUCGGUUCUUAUUAUGUUAAAUGAGUGCUUUAAUUCGAUUGGUUCAAAAUUAGCUUUCGUGACAAAUAUACAAUUGCCGGCCGUUAUUUUUCUAUUUCUAUUUUAUAGGAAUGUGGAAAACCAUAUCCGAUGGAUGAGCAUAUUUAACAUUUAUAGGUUUUAUUCAUGGUGUCGGAAUGUUGUGAUACGAGUUUGUAUCGAAUAUAAGUGCUUUUAACACGAUUUGUGCCAUCGCAGAUAUUUGACGGCAAAGACGGAAGACCCAAGUAUCCACGCCGAUGGGUGAUCCUACCUCCAUUCCUGUAGAAGCCAUUGACUCCUGGAUUGCACCCACGCCGGAUUGGUGGUGGAACUUGAAGAAGUUAAAUCAGAGUCGAUUUCAGACGAUCUUAGCAUUUCAUUUGAAACGUAGGAUUUGCUUGUCGAUCUAUGAAACAUAGGUCA
RNAcentral lists this long non-coding RNA (2520 nucleotides) under Malus domestica (apple). Lineage: Eukaryota; Viridiplantae; Streptophyta; Magnoliopsida; Rosales; Rosaceae. The record is from RNAcentral.